UGUCUGAAAAGCUUCUAGGUUCAGCCGAAAGACACUACCCAUCAUCUCCCUCUCCUCUGUUCUGUGCUCAGUACUGAUACAAUAGAAGUGGAGGCUUAUCACUGUUUUAAUACGUCCAGGUCCUUCUUCAUGCUCCUGCCUCUGUUCGUUUUCUUUUUCGUGCUGCUGUUCUAUCUUGCUGUGCACAUCUGGGUCGUUGGCUGAUAGAAGAAAUCAGGUUGCUGGAGUGGGUGUAUUGAUCGCGAAUCUGAAUCAGUGCUGAGUUCAUUUUUCUUCUCGUGAGUGACAAAAAUCUCAUCUUCUCUUCUUAUUUGGUUGACAGCUUCUUGGUUUCUUCCUCCUUUAUUUUGUUCGUCUAUGGUUGGGAAGUAAAGGAAGAGCUGAUAUGGUGCUGUGGAAGGAUUAAUUCAUGGGUUGAGGCUGAAAUAUUGCUAUAUUCUUCUUCCCCUGUUCAGUUGUAGAUUUAGUUUUCUUCCUCCCUCUAUGUGUGUGCACUGUCGGCUAACUAAGGUCGUGUGGAGGAAGAGGAUCCCAAUAGAAAUUAAAGAAAGAAUAUUUUGGAGAUUUGAAACUGCAACAGAUUUGUUAGCUGACGCUGAUCCCACCAUCGACCUCUAAAAGGCAACUAGCUACAAUGGGUGGACAUUUUGAUUGGCCAAAUUGUCAAACAUCAUGGUGCACAACCGUUGGCCUCACCAUCUUUUGCUAAGACUAAUCAAGCUUUGAACGUUAUUGGGGUGCAAGAGAUAGUUUAUAUGAUGAAAUUAGAGGGUUCUGAGACUUAUUCUAUUGGCAGAGGCACUCAUGACUCCCACCAAUAUGUCUGUCCACAAAUGAUCGAAGCACUUAAAUGUUAUGCAUUUCCUAUGGAGUGUUGCUUGAUAUACUCAACAUUCUUACCACUAGGACUCCCUUCACCAUCACUGAAUCAGACAAGAGAGAGUUGGAAGAAAUUAAAGGAUGCUUGUCUUCUUGGCUUUGAUAAAGACUGGCUUGAAUCCAUCAAGACUAUGGUUUUUAAUUGUGAUUAUGUAACUGAAGUUGAUUGCUUCCAUGAAAUUCUAAAGGGCUUGGACAGUGAUUCCAAGACCAAUGAGGCAAUACUUGCGGCUACAUGCAAUCAGGAGGUAGAGGCAGUGUGAGUGGUCGAAGCGGCUCAAAAGGACUUAGAUGUUGCAUUGCAAGAACAUGUAAAUGUUAUGGCGAAUCACACUCAUCUUCUGAAAGCACGCCAAGACAUUCUAGCAAGGCAAAAUCAAUGCGGGGAAUUAAUUGCUACUAAAAAUAGACAUUUUUUAUUUUAACCUGGGUUUUAUUUUCAUGCUUCAUGGUUUCUUCCCCCUCCCCUUUUUGGUGAUUAAAAGAAGUGCGCAUCAUAUAUUUCAUUUAUUGUCACGAGAAUA
RNA transcript from Prosopis cineraria, 1403 nucleotides. RefSeq lists it as uncharacterized. The record is from RefSeq and is a predicted model, not a curated record. The transcript is spliced from 4 exons. NCBI's taxonomy places the organism in Eukaryota, Viridiplantae, Streptophyta, Magnoliopsida, Fabales, Fabaceae.